GAUGAACGCUGGCGGCGUGCCUAACACAUGCAAGUCGAGCGAACAGAUAAGGAGCUUGCUCCUUUGACGUUAGCGGCGGACGGGUGAGUAACACGUGGGUAACCUACCUAUAAGACUGGGAUAACUUCGGGAAACCGGAGCUAAUACCGGAUAAUAUUUCGAACCGCAUGGUUCGAUAGUGAAAGAUGGUUUUGCUAUCACUUAUAGAUGGACCCGCGCCGUAUUAGCUAGUUGGUAAGGUAACGGCUUACCAAGGCGACGAUACGUAGCCGACCUGAGAGGGUGAUCGGCCACACUGGAACUGAGACACGGUCCAGACUCCUACGGGAGGCAGCAGUAGGGAAUCUUCCGCAAUGGGCGAAAGCCUGACGGAGCAACGCCGCGUGAGUGAUGAAGGUCUUCGGAUCGUAAAACUCUGUUAUUAGGGAAGAACAUACGUGUAAGUAACUGUGCACGUCUUGACGGUACCUAAUCAGAAAGCCACGGCUAACUACGUG
Molecule: ribosomal RNA, 497 nt
Filed under: uncultured bacterium
Lineage: Bacteria
Description: partial 16S ribosomal RNA
Rfam family: Bacterial small subunit ribosomal RNA
Source: RNAcentral